Molecule: long non-coding RNA, 208 nt
Organism: Haliotis rubra (blacklip abalone)
Lineage: Eukaryota; Metazoa; Mollusca; Gastropoda; Lepetellida; Haliotidae
Exons: 4
Source: RefSeq, a predicted model, not a curated record
GAUCAGUGGGGUGUGGGAGAUCAGUGGGGUGAGGGUGGGAGAUCAGUGGGGUGAGGGUGGGAGAUCAGUGGGGUGAGGGUGGGAGAUCAGUGGAGUGAGGGUGGGAGAUCAGUGGGGUGAGGGUGGGAGAUCAGUGGGGUGGAGAGGGUGGGAGAUCAGAGGGUGUGAGGGUGGGAGAUCAGUGGGGUGAGGGUGGGAGAUCAGUGGG